This 492-nucleotide ribosomal RNA is filed under the name uncultured bacterium. RNAcentral describes it as "partial 16S ribosomal RNA". It matches the Rfam family "Bacterial small subunit ribosomal RNA", at positions 29 to 507 of the family's 1533-position model. The record is from RNAcentral.
AUUGAACGCUGGCGGCAUGCUUUACACAUGCAAGUCGAACGGUAACAGGCCUUCGGGUGCUGACGAGUGGCGCACGGGUGAGUAAUGCAUCGGAACGUACCCAGAGGUGGGGGAUAACGCAGCGAAAGCUGUGCUAAUACCGCAUGUGAUCUGAGGAUGAAAGCGGGGGACCGAGCAGCAAUGUUUGGCCUCGCGCCUUUGGAGCGGCCGAUGUCGGAUUAGCUAGUUGGUGGGGUAAAGGCCUACCAAGGCGACGAUCCGUAGCUGGUCUGAGAGGACGACCGGCCACACUGGGACUGAGACACGGCCCAGACUCCUACGGGAGGCAGCAGUGGGGAAUUUUGGACAAUGGGCGCAAGCCUGAUCCAGCAAUGCCGCGUGCGGGAAGAAGGCCUUCGGGUUGUAAACCGCUUUUGGCAGGAACGAAACGGUGUCCGCUAAUACCGGGCGCUAAUGACGGUACCUGCAGAAUAAGCACCGGCUAACUACGUG